CCCUUAGAUGUUCUGGGCCGCACGCGUGCUACACUGAGUGGAUCAGCGGGUCAGGUUGCGCGAAAGCGUUUCCUAAUCUUUAAAUCCGCUCGUGAUGGGGAUUGACGGUUGCAAUUUUCUGUCAUGAACGAGGAAUACCUUGUAAGCGCGGGUCAUCAUCCCGCGCUGAAUACGUCCCUGCCCUUUGUACACACCGCCCGUCGCUCCUACCGAUUGAGUGGUCCGGUGAGGCUUUGGGAUCUGAGCGGAAAGAGCGUUUCGCUGUUUCUGCUCGGAAAACUCAGUCGAACCUUAUCAUUUAGAGGAAGGCGAAGUCGUAACA
Molecule: ribosomal RNA, 322 nt
Filed under: uncultured eukaryote
Lineage: Eukaryota
Description: partial 18S ribosomal RNA
Rfam family: Eukaryotic small subunit ribosomal RNA
Source: RNAcentral